This 460-nucleotide ribosomal RNA is filed under the name uncultured bacterium. RNAcentral's name for it is "partial 16S ribosomal RNA". It matches the Rfam family "Bacterial small subunit ribosomal RNA", at positions 338 to 795 of the family's 1533-position model. The record is from RNAcentral.
CCUACUGGGGGCAGCAGUGAGGAAUAUUGGUCAAUGGACGAGAGUCUGAACCAGCCAAGUAGCUUGAAGGAUGACUGCCCUAUUGGUUGUAACCUUCUUUUAUAUGGGAAUAACAGGUUCCACGUGUGGGAUUUUUUAUGUACCAUAUGAAUAAGGCUCGGCUAACUCCGUGCCCGCAGCCGCGGUAAUACGGAGGAUCCGAUCGUUAUCCGGAUUUAUUUGGUUUAAAGGGAGCGUAGGUGGAUUGUUAAAUCAGUUGUGAAAGUUUGCGGCUCAACCGUAAAAUUGCAGUUGAAACUGGCAGUCUUGAGUACAGUAGAGGUGGGCGGAAUUCGUGGUGUAGCGGUGAAAUGCUUAGAUAUCACGAAGAACUCCGAUUGCGAAGGCAGUUCACUGGACUGCAACUGACACUGAGGCUCGAAAGUGUGGGUAUCAAACAGGAUUAGAUACCCCAGUAGUC